This 1530-nucleotide ribosomal RNA is filed under the name Shigella flexneri K-227. RNAcentral describes it as "bacterial SSU rRNA". It matches the Rfam family "Bacterial small subunit ribosomal RNA". Lineage: Bacteria; Pseudomonadati; Pseudomonadota; Gammaproteobacteria; Enterobacterales; Enterobacteriaceae. The record is from RNAcentral.
AGAGUUUGAUCAUGGCUCAGAUUGAACGCUGGCGGCAGGCCUAACACAUGCAAGUCGAACGGUAACAGGAAGCAGCUUGCUGCUUCGCUGACGAGUGGCGGACGGGUGAGUAAUGUCUGGGAAACUGCCUGAUGGAGGGGGAUAACUACUGGAAACGGUAGCUAAUACCGCAUAACGUCGCAAGACCAAAGAGGGGGACCUUCGGGCCUCUUGCCAUCGGAUGUGCCCAGAUGGGAUUAGCUUGUUGGUGGGGUAACGGCUCACCAAGGCGACGAUCCCUAGCUGGUCUGAGAGGAUGACCAGCCACACUGGAACUGAGACACGGUCCAGACUCCUACGGGAGGCAGCAGUGGGGAAUAUUGCACAAUGGGCGCAAGCCUGAUGCAGCCAUGCCGCGUGUAUGAAGAAGGCCUUCGGGUUGUAAAGUACUUUCAGCGGGGAGGAAGGGAGUAAAGUUAAUACCUUUGCUCAUUGACGUUACCCGCAGAAGAAGCACCGGCUAACUCCGUGCCAGCAGCCGCGGUAAUACGGAGGGUGCAAGCGUUAAUCGGAAUUACUGGGCGUAAAGCGCACGCAGGCGGUUUGUUAAGUCAGAUGUGAAAUCCCCGGGCUCAACCUGGGAACUGCAUCUGAUACUGGCAAGCUUGAGUCUCGUAGAGGGGGGUAGAAUUCCAGGUGUAGCGGUGAAAUGCGUAGAGAUCUGGAGGAAUACCGGUGGCGAAGGCGGCCCCCUGGACGAAGACUGACGCUCAGGUGCGAAAGCGUGGGGAGCAAACAGGAUUAGAUACCCUGGUAGUCCACGCCGUAAACGAUGUCGACUUGGAGGUUGUGCCCUUGAGGCGUGGCUUCCGGAGCUAACGCGUUAAGUCGACCGCCUGGGGAGUACGGCCGCAAGGUUAAAACUCAAAUGAAUUGACGGGGGCCCGCACAAGCGGUGGAGCAUGUGGUUUAAUUCGAUGCAACGCGAAGAACCUUACCUGGUCUUGACAUCCACGGAAGUUUUCAGAGAUGAGAAUGUGCCUUCGGGAACCGUGAGACAGGUGCUGCAUGGCUGUCGUCAGCUCGUGUUGUGAAAUGUUGGGUUAAGUCCCGCAACGAGCGCAACCCUUAUCCUUUGUUGCCAGCGGUCCGGCCGGGAACUCAAAGGAGACUGCCAGUGAUAAACUGGAGGAAGGUGGGGAUGACGUCAAGUCAUCAUGGCCCUUACGACCAGGGCUACACACGUGCUACAAUGGCGCAUACAAAGAGGAGCGACCUCGCGAGAGCAAGCGGACCUCAUAAAGUGCGUCGUAGUCCGGAUUGGAGUCUGCAACUCGACUCCAUGAAGUCGGAAUCGCUAGUAAUCGUGGAUCAGAAUGCCACGGUGAAUACGUUCCCGGGCCUUGUACACACCGCCCGUCACACCAUGGGAGUGGGUUGCAAAAGAAGUAGGUAGCUUAACCUUCGGGAGGGCGCUUACCACUUUGUGAUUCAUGACUGGGGUGAAGUCGUAACAAGGUAACCGUAGGGGAACCUGCGGUUGGAUCACCU